UGGCGGACGGGUGCGUAAUGCGUAGGAAUCUACCCUGAAAUGGGGGAUAACCUGAGGAAACUCGGGCUAAUACCGCAUGAUUUUGGUCACUUCGGUGAUUAAACAAAGCAGAGGAUUAACCGGGCAACUGGUUGACUUUGCGUUUUUGGAUGAGCCUACGUCGGAUUAGCUAGUUGGUGGGGUAAAAGCCUACCAAGGCAACGAUCCGUAGCUGGUCUGAGAGGACGAUCAGCCACACUGGGACUGAGAUACGGCCCAGACUCCUACGGGAGGCAGCAGUGGGGAAUUUUGGACAAUGGGCGAAAGCCUGAUCCAGCAAUGUCGCGUGUGUGAUGAAGGCCUGCGGGUUGUAAAGCACUUUCAGUGGGGAAGAAAUACUCAAAGCUAAUACCUUUGAGGGUUGACGUUACCCAAAGAAGAAGCACCGGCUAACUCUGUGCCAGCAGCCGCGGUAAUACAGAGGGUGCAAGCGUUAAUCGGAGUUACUGGGCAUAAAGGGUGCGUAGGCGGAUAUUUAAGUUGGAUGUGAAAUCCCUGGGCUUAACCUGGGAAUUGCAUUCGAUACUGAUUGUCUAGAGUAUGGAAGAGGAAAGUGGAAUUCCCGGUGUAGUGGUAAAAUACGUAGAUAUCGGGAGGAACACCAGUGGCGAAGGCGGCUUUCUGGUCCAAUACUGACGCUGAGGCACGAAAGCGUGGGGAGCAAACAGGAUUAGAUACCCUGGUAGUCCACGCCGUAAACGAUGAGAACUAGGUGUUCGUCUUACUUUUGUAAGAUGAGUACCGAAGCUAAUGCGUUAAGUUCUCCGCCUGGGGAGUACGACCGCAAGGUUGAAGCUUAAAAGAAUUGACGGGGCUCGCACAAGCGGUGGAGCAUGUGGUUUAAUUCG
This 887-nucleotide ribosomal RNA is filed under the name uncultured bacterium. Its description in RNAcentral is "bacterial SSU rRNA". It matches the Rfam family "Bacterial small subunit ribosomal RNA", at positions 96 to 953 of the family's 1533-position model. The record is from RNAcentral.